GGGUGUAUGGUCUAGUGGUAUGAUUUCUGUUUUGCAAUGCUUCAUCCGCAUUCUCAACUUACAGACGGUCCCCGGUUCGAUCCCGGGUGCAUCCA
This is a non-coding RNA of Podospora appendiculata, 95 nucleotides long. The record is from the annotation of a GenBank genome assembly. NCBI's taxonomy places the organism in Eukaryota, Fungi, Ascomycota, Sordariomycetes, Sordariales, Podosporaceae.